GACGGUCCGCCUACCGGUGGUUACUGUUCGUCGCCGAGCGUUCAGGCGGUUAUUCUUGAUGAUCUUCACCGGUUGUCUCGGGUGACCGCCAAGUUUACUUUGAAAAAAUUAGAGUGCUCAAAGCAGGCGCGACGCCUGAAUAAUUGUGCAUGGAAUAAUGGAAUAGGACCUCGGUUCUAUUUUGUUGGUUUUCGGAACACGAGGUAAUGAUUAAGAGGGACAGACGGGGGCAUUCGUAUUGCGACGCUAGAGGUGAAAUUCUUGGACCGUCGCAAGACGAACUACUGCGAAAGCAUUUGCCAAGAAUGUUUCCAUUAAUCAAGAACGAAAGUUAGAGGUUCGAAGGCGAUCAGAUACCGCCCUAGUUCUAACCAUAAACGAUGCCAGCCAGCAAUCCGCCUGUGUUCCUCAAAUGACACGGCGGGCGGCUUCCGGGAAACCAAAGCUUUUGGGUUCCGGGGGAAGUAUGGUUGCAAAGCUGAAACUUAAAGGAAUUGACGGAAGGGCACCACCAGAAAUGGAGCCUGCGGCUUAAUUUGACUCAACACGGGUAAACUUACCCGGUCCGGACACAGGAAGGAUUGACAGAUUAAGAGCUCUUUCUUGAUUCUGUGGGUGGUGGUGCAUGGCCGUUCUUAGUUGGUGGGGCGACUUGUCUGGUUAAUUCCGAUAACGAACGAGACUCUAGCCUACUAAAUAGACGUUCCGAUCCUCUUUCGUCGGACGUUCUUCUUAGAGGGACAAGCGGCGUUUAGCCGCACGAGACAGAGCAAUAACAGGUCUGGGAUGCCCUUAGAUGUCCGGGGCCGCACGCGCGCUACAUUGAAGGAAUCAGCGUGUGCUUUCCCUGUCCGAAAGGACUGGGUAACCCGUUGAACCUCCUUCGUGCUGGGGAUUGGCGAUUGUAAUUGUCCGCCAUGAACGAGGAAUUCCCAGUAAGCACGAGUCAUCAGCUCGUGUUGAUUACGUCCCUGCCCUUUGUCCACACCGCCCGUCGCUACUACCGAUUGAAUGAUUUAGUGAGGUCUUCGGACUGGCG
This 1039-nucleotide ribosomal RNA is filed under the name Wagneriana spicata. RNAcentral describes it as "SSU rRNA". It matches the Rfam family "Eukaryotic small subunit ribosomal RNA", at positions 655 to 1720 of the family's 1831-position model. The record is from RNAcentral. Lineage: Eukaryota; Metazoa; Arthropoda; Arachnida; Araneae; Araneidae.